This 466-nucleotide ribosomal RNA is filed under the name Vreelandella stevensii. Its description in RNAcentral is "partial 16S ribosomal RNA". It matches the Rfam family "Bacterial small subunit ribosomal RNA", at positions 338 to 795 of the family's 1533-position model. The record is from RNAcentral. Lineage: Bacteria; Pseudomonadati; Pseudomonadota; Gammaproteobacteria; Oceanospirillales; Halomonadaceae.
CCUACGGGAGGCUGCAGUGGGGAAUAUUGGACAAUGGGGGCAACCCUGAUCCAGCCAUGCCGCGUGUGUGAAGAAGGCCCGCGGGUUGUAAAGCACUUUCAGUGAGGAAGAACGCCUGGUGGUUAAUACCCAUCAGGAAAGACAUCACUCACAGAAGAAGCACCGGCUAACUCCGUGCCAGCAGCCGCGGUAAUACGGAGGGUGCGAGCGUUAAUCGGAAUUACUGGGCGUAAAGCGCGCGUAGGUGGCUUGAUAAGCCGGUUGUGAAAGCCCCGGGCUCAACCUGGGAACGGCAUCCGGAACUGUCAAGCUAGAGUGCAGGAGAGGAAGGUAGAAUUCCCGGUGUAGCGGUGAAAUGCGUAGAGAUCGGGAGGAAUACCAGUGGCGAAGGCGGCCUUCUGGACUGACACUGACACUGAGGUGCGAAAGCGUGGGUAGCAAACAGGAUUAGAAUACCCUUGUAGUC